RNAcentral lists this ribosomal RNA (516 nucleotides) under uncultured bacterium. RNAcentral describes it as "bacterial SSU rRNA". It matches the Rfam family "Bacterial small subunit ribosomal RNA", at positions 397 to 906 of the family's 1533-position model. The record is from RNAcentral.
CCGCGUGGGUGAAGAAGGCCUUCGGGUUGUAAAGCACUUUUGUCCGGAAAGAAAUGGCUCUGGUUAAUACCUGGGGUCGAUGACGGUACCGGAAGAAUAAGGACCGGCUAACUACGUGCCAGCAGCCGCGGUAAUACGUAGGGUCCAAGCGUUAAUCGGAAUUACUGGGCGUAAAGCGUGCGCAGGCGGUUGUGCAAGACCGAUGUGAAAUCCCCGAGCUUAACUUGGGAAUUGCAUUGGUGACUGCACGGCUAGAGUGUGUCAGAGGGGGGUAGAAUUCCACGUGUAGCAGUGAAAUGCGUAGAGAUGUGGAGGAAUACCGAUGGCGAAGGCAGCCCCCUGGGAUAACACUGACGCUCAUGCACGAAAGCGUGGGGAGCAAACAGGAUUAGAUACCCUGGUAGUCCACGCCCUAAACGAUGUCAACUAGUUGUUGGGGAUUCAUUUCCUUAGUAACGUAGCUAACGCGUGAAGUUGACCGCCUGGGGAGUACGGUCGCAAGAUUAAAACUCAAAG